This 253-nucleotide ribosomal RNA is filed under the name uncultured bacterium. Its description in RNAcentral is "partial 16S ribosomal RNA". It matches the Rfam family "Bacterial small subunit ribosomal RNA", at positions 524 to 776 of the family's 1533-position model. The record is from RNAcentral.
UACGUAGGGCGCAAGCGUUGUCCGGAAUUAUUGGGCGUAAAGAGCUCGUAGGUGGCGUGUCGCGUCUGCCGUGAAAGCCCAUGGCUUAACUGUGGGUCUGCGGUGGAUACGGGCAGGCUGGAGGCUGGUAGGGGCAAGCGGAAUUCCUGGUGUAGCGGUGAAAUGCGCAGAUAUCAGGAGGAACACCGGUGGCGAAGGCGGCUUGCUGGGCCAGUUCUGACGCUGAGGCGCGAAGGCGUGGGGAGCGAACGGG